CCUACGGGGGGCAGCAGUGGGGGAUAUUGCACAAUGGGGGAAACCCUGAUGCAGCGAUGCCGCGUGAGUGAAGACGGCCUUCGGGUUGUAAAGCUCUGUCGCAGGGGACGAAAAUGACGGUACCCUGCAAGAAAGCUCCGGCUAACUACGUGCCAGCAGCCGCGGUAAUACGUAGGGAGCAAGCGUUGUCCGGAAUUACUGGGUGUAAAGGGAGCGUAGACGGCAGCGCAAGUCUGGAGUGAAAUGCCGGGGCUCAACCCCGGAACUGCUUUGGAAACUGUGCAGCUAGAGUGCGGGAGAGGUAA
This 305-nucleotide ribosomal RNA is filed under the name uncultured bacterium. RNAcentral describes it as "bacterial SSU rRNA". It matches the Rfam family "Bacterial small subunit ribosomal RNA", at positions 338 to 660 of the family's 1533-position model. The record is from RNAcentral.